GGAGGAGGCAAGCGUUGUCCGGAAUCAUUGGGCGUAAAGAGCGCGUAGGCUGUUUUUCAAGUCAUUUGUGAAAACCUCAGGCUUAACUUGAGGACUGCAUAUGAAACUGGAAAACUUGAGUGCAGUAGGGGAAAGUGGAAUUCCUGGUGUAGCGGUGAAAUGCGCAGAUAUCGGGAAGAACACCGGUAGCGAAGGCGGCUUUCUGGGCUGCUACUGACGCUGAGGCGCGAAAGCUAGGGGAGCAAACAGGAUUAGAUACCCUGGUAGUCCUAGCUGUAAACGAUGGACACUAGGUGUGGGGAGUUAUCGACGCUUUACGUGCCGGAGCUAACGCAUUAAGUGUCCCCGCCUGGGAGUACGGUCGCAAGACU
This 371-nucleotide ribosomal RNA is filed under the name uncultured organism. RNAcentral describes it as "partial 16S ribosomal RNA". It matches the Rfam family "Bacterial small subunit ribosomal RNA", at positions 527 to 895 of the family's 1533-position model. The record is from RNAcentral.